UCAAAUCGAGAAGAGCACGAGGCGGAUGCCUUGGCACAUGGCGCCGACGAAGGACGGUCAAGCACCGAUAGCCGCGGGGAGUCCAAAAGACAGUGAUCCGUGGGUUUCCGAAUGGAGCAAUCCGGCAGGUGAAGAACCUGUCAUCCUACCGCCAAUCCAUAACGGUAGGAGGGGAUACCCGGCCAACUGAAACAUCUCAGUAACCGGAGGAAAAGAAAGCAAACGCGAUUUCCUCAGUAGCGGCGAGCGAACGGGAAAGAGGCCGACAGUGAAUAAGACGAAAGAGACCCAGGCGAAUCUUCUGGAAAGAAGAACCAAAGAAGGUAAAAGUCCUGUAACUGAAAGGUUUUGACGUUGUCACGAGAGAGUACCAUCGAACACGAGAAAUUUGGUGGGAACAUGGGAGGACCACCUCCUAAGCCUAAAUACGUCCAUGUGACCGAUAGUGAACAAGUACCGUGAGGGAAAGGUGAAAAGAACCCCGGAAGGGGAGUGAAAGAGAAUCUGAAACCUUGUGCUUACAAGCAGAUAGAGGGGUCAUGCACCCUGAUAUCGUACUUUUUGUAGAACGGGCCAGCGAGUUAUAUUCGUAAGCGAGGUUAAGCCCUACAGGGGCGGAGCCGAAGGGAAACCGAGUGUGAAACGCGCGAGAGUUUGCGGAUAUAGACCCGAAACCGGGUGAUCUAGUCAUGAGCAGGAUGAAGUAGAAGUAAAAUUCUAUGGAAGACCGAACCAGGUGCGGUUUAAAACGCAUUGGAUGACUUGUGAUUAGGGGUGAAAAGCCAAUCGAACCCGGAGAUAGCUGGUUCUCCUCGAAACCACUUUAGGGUGGGCCUCAUGUGUAAGAUAAAGGGAGGUAGAGCACUGAAUGGUCGCGGGGGAUAUAUCCUACCAACACCUAUCAAACUUCGAAUUCCGUUUAUUAUCCAUGGGAGUUAGACUAUGUGGGAUAAGCUUCAUAGUCGAAAGGGAAACAGCCCAGACCGUCAGUUAAGGUCCCUAAAUCAUGUUCAGUGGAAAAGGAGGUCAUUCUACUUAGACAACCAGGACGUUGGCUUAGAAGCAGCCAUGCAUUGAAAGAGUGCGUAAUAGCUCACUGGUCGAGUGGAGCGGCGCCGAAGAUACACGGGGCUAAACAUGAUACCGAAGCUACGGGAUUGAUCGAGACAAAAAGUAUUUUGUUAAACACGCUUAUAACUGUGAAGACUAGAAAUAUCGAAGUCAAAUUUCUAAGACGAAAACGCGUUAAAGAAAUUGAGGUAAGAAGCAAGUUAUCUUAAUGAAUUAAUGCAAUUUCACGCAAGAAAGAUUCACAAGAAAAGCGCGAAGUAACAGAAUACUUUUUGUCUUGACAAUCGGUAGAGGAGCAUUGUAUGUUCACUGAAGCAAAAGGGGUAACCCAUUGUGGAGGGCAUACAAGAGAGAAUGCUGGCAUGAGUAGCGAGAAGGCGAGUGAGAAUCUCGCCCGUCGAAAGCCGAAGGAUUCCUGAGCAAGGCUCGUCCUCUCAGGGUUAGUCGGGACCUAAGCUGAGGCCGAAGGGCGUAGGCAAUGGAUAUCCGGUGGAGAUUCCGGAACUGUUUUUACUCGUUUGAGAGAAGUGUUGACGCAGAAGGCUAAGGGAAGCAGGCGAAAGGUAGAGCCUGUCCAAGGAGGUAGGCUAGUUCGGUAGGUAAAUCCGCCGAAUGGUGCUGAGAUCUGAUGGGGACCGAAAAAUAAGUAGGGAAGUCUCUGAUGCCCGGCUGCCGAGAAAAGACGCUAUCGAGAGUAAGAGCACCCGUACCAAAACCGACACAGGUUGGCAGGAUGAGAAUUCUAAGACGCGCGGAAGAACCUUUGUUAAGGAACUCGGCAAAAUGACUCCGUAACUUCGGGAGAAGGAGUGCCAUAUAAAAAUAGAACUUUGCGUUCGACGAAUCGUAUGGCUGCAGUGAAUCGGCCCAAGCGACUGUUUACCAAAAACACAAGUAUCUGCGAAGUCGUAAGACGAAGUAUAGGUGCUGACACCUGCCCGGUGCUGGAAGGUCAAGGGGAAGCGUUAGCGCAAGCGAAGCGUUGAACUUAAGCCCCAGUAAACGGCGGCCGUAACUAUAACGGUCCUAAGGUAGCGAAAUUCCUUGUCGGGUAAGUUCCGACCCGCACGAAAGGUGUAACGA
This 2154-nucleotide ribosomal RNA is filed under the name human gut metagenome. RNAcentral describes it as "bacterial LSU rRNA". It matches the Rfam family "Bacterial large subunit ribosomal RNA", at positions 1 to 2007 of the family's 2925-position model. The record is from RNAcentral.